This 914-nucleotide ribosomal RNA is filed under the name uncultured Bacillota bacterium. Its description in RNAcentral is "bacterial SSU rRNA". It matches the Rfam family "Bacterial small subunit ribosomal RNA", at positions 1 to 913 of the family's 1533-position model. Lineage: Bacteria; Bacillati; Bacillota. The record is from RNAcentral.
UGGAUCCAGACUUUGAUUCUGGCUCAGGACGAACACUGGCGGCGUGCCUAACACAUGCAAGUCGAACGGAACUUUUUCAGAAGAUUCUUUCGGGAUGAUUUUGGUUAAGUUUAGUGGCGGACGGGUGAGUAACGCGUGAGUAACCUGCCUUUGAGAGGGGAAUAACAAUCUGAAAAGAUUGCUAAUACCGCAUAACAUAUGUUUGUCGCAUGGCAGAUAUAUCAAAGAUUUUAUCGCUCAAAGAUGGACUCGCGUCCGAUUAGUUAGUUGGUGAGGUAACGGCUCACCAAGACCGCGAUCGGUAGCCGGACUGAGAGGUUGAACGGCCACAUUGGGACUGAGACACGGCCCAGACUCCUACGGGAGGCAGCAGUGGGGAUAUUGCGCAAUGGGGGCAACCCUGACGCAGCAACGCCGCGUGAAGGAUGAAGGUUUUCGGAUUGUAAACUUCCUUUAUUAAGGACGAAAUUUGACGGUACUUAAUGAAUAAGCUCCGGCUAACUACGUGCCAGCAGCCGCGGUAAUACGUAGGGAGCAAGCGUCGUCCGGAUUUACUGGGUGUAAAGGGUGCGUAGGCGGCUUUGCAAGUCAGAUGUGAAAUCUAUGGGCUCAACCCAUAAACUGCAUUUGAAACUGUAGAGCUUGAGUGAAGUAGAGGCAGGCGGAAUUCCCCGUGUAGCGGUGAAAUGCGUAGAGAUGGGGAGGAACACCAGUGGCGAAGGCGGCCUGCUGGGCUUUAACUGACGCUGAGGCACGAAAGCGUGGGUAGCAAACAGGAUUAGAUACCCUGGUAGUCCACGCUGUAAACGAUGAUUACUAGGUGUGGGGGGUCUGACCCCCUCCGUGCCGGAGUUAACACAAUAAGUAAUCCACCUGGGGAGUACGGCCGCAAGGUUGCAACUCAAAGGAAUUGA